This 396-nucleotide ribosomal RNA is filed under the name uncultured bacterium. Its description in RNAcentral is "partial 16S ribosomal RNA". It matches the Rfam family "Bacterial small subunit ribosomal RNA", at positions 523 to 918 of the family's 1533-position model. The record is from RNAcentral.
CUACGUAGGGGGCGAGCGUUGUCCGGAAUGAUUGGGCGUAAAGGGCGCGUAGGCGGCCCGGUAAGUCUGGAGUGAAAGUCCUGUUUUUAAGAUGGGAAUUGCUUUGGAUACUGUCGGGCUUGAGUGCAGGAGAGGUAAGUGGAAUUCCCAGUGUAGCGGUGAAAUGCGUAGAGAUUGGGAGGAACACCAGUGGCGAAGGCGACUUACUGGACUGUAACUGACGCUGAGGCGCGAAAGUGUGGGGAGCAAACAGGAUUAGAUACCCUGGUAGUCCACGCUGUAAACGAUGAAUACUAGGUGUGGGGGGACUGACCCCCUCCGUGCCGCAGUUAACACAAUAAGUAUUCCACCUGGGGAGUACGAUCGCAAGAUUGAAACUCAAAUGAAUUGACGGGG